Molecule: long non-coding RNA, 3993 nt
Filed under: Homo sapiens (human)
Lineage: Eukaryota; Metazoa; Chordata; Mammalia; Primates; Hominidae
Description: long independently transcribed non-coding RNA 2934, transcript variant 2 (LINC02934)
Source: RNAcentral
UGUGGCUGUGGGUGGUUUACCGCCAGACUGUGAUGGUGGCGGGGCACGGCUGCGUGACUGCUCAACUCAGCUGUACUUCUCACCACGUGGCAAAGGAUGGACCAAAGGCUGGGAGCAACUGGGAGUGUCUGGGAACACUUUCUGGUUGUCACAGUGAUCAGCAGCCAGGAGCAGCCUGCAAUGUGAAGACAGUCCUGUGGGACAGUCCUAGGCUACAGGGAACUGUCCUGCAUCCUGCAUGUCUUAUAAACAUCCUACUGGACGUCGAUGUUUGACUGUGCCCCAAGGAAGCCACACAAACUGUGUAGCCAGACAGUCUGUCUGGGAGGAGAAGGAAGGAAUUUAUCUACCAGCUCCCAUCUCUCAUGGACCAAAUUCUUCCCCACUGUACAUAACUCCAUAUCACUUUCAGAUUGCAUAAGGGUGAGAGCUGAAUGUAGGCUCCAACAGGAAGACGGCAUUGAAGCCUGGUUGCUUGUUACUACUCAGAAUGCCAUCUACAAAAGGAAAUUAUGUAAAAAGCAAUAAAGAACCCCUUUUGUUCUUGCAGGAGUCAGUGUUUCAUAACUCUUUCUGUGAUAUCGUCUGUAUAAGUUGAACCUCUAAAGAACCUUAUCUAAGUUGCCACGACCUUACUCAUUACCCUCAAGAAAGAUGAACAAUUUAAAGGGGGAAAAAAGGAAGUGAAAAAAAUGGCGGAUACGAGGCAGAACUAACCUGCAGCUUCCACUCGAAGGGACAGAGCAGAGUGUGGAGACCCACAACUGGAACUUUUUCUCCAAGAACUACCACAGGAACAUACCAAGAAAGCCAAGAGAAUCCACAGAACCUUUGGAGGAAGUGGUUUGUCACUGCAGGCUCUGUGGGACAGCUGAGGAACUGUGAGUCUGUUUGCUUUCUCAGUUGGGAGGCUUGUAGCCAGCUGGGAGGCUUGUAGCCUGGGGCAAGUUCUCAGCCCUGCUCACCAGCUGCUUGGAGAUAAACUUGGGGUCUGGGGGACUGAGACCAGCCUUUUGGGCUGCGGGCUCUGGCAGAGUGGGGUGGGGGGCGGGCGGGGGAGGCAUGGGGACUGAGACCAGCCUCUUUUGGGCUGCGGGCUUUGAGGGAGCUGGGUAAGUCCUGUGGCUGCCCGCUUUCUCCCACUUCCCUGGUGACCUGUGUGAGCAGUAGAGGCAGCCAUAAUCCCUUGGGAGCAUAACUCCAUUGGCCUAGGAACCACCCCCAUCCCCCACAGCAGCCACAGCAAGCCCUGCCUGAGGAAAGUCUGAGCUCAGACAUGCCUAUCCCUGCCUGCACCUGGUGGUCUUUCCCUACCCACCCUGGUAGUCAAAACAAAGGUCAUAAUCUCUCGGGAGCUCUAUGGCUCUGCCCACUGCCUGAGAAACUUGAAUACUUAUCCAAAGGCGACCCUAGGACAAGCUUGUAUCCUCCCUAUAUGACCACCACUAAAGCGCUCUUAAAAGUGCCACCUCCUGGCUGGAGGCCAACCAACACAAAACCAGCACACUUAACAAAAAUACAACAAAGGACCCUCACAGAGUCCACUUCACUCCCUAGCUACUUCCACCAGAGUGGGUGCUGGUAUCCACAGCUGAGAGACCUAAAGACAGACCACAGCACAGAACUCUUUGCAGACACAUCCCAGUACUAGCCCAGAGCCUGGUAGCUCCGCCGGGUGGCUAGACCGAGAAGAGAAAUGACAAUCACAGCAGUUUUGCUCUCAGGAAGCCCCAUCCCUAGGGGGAAAGAGAGAGCACCACAUCAAGGGAGCACCCCCGGGACAAAAGAAUCCAAACAGCAGCCCUUGAGUCCCAGGUCUUUCCUCUGACAUAGUCUACCCAAAUGAGAAGGAACCAGAAAAACAAUUCUGGUAAUAUGACAAAAUGAGGUUCUUUAACUCCAAAAGAUCGCACUAGCUCACCAACAAUGGAUCCAAACCAAGAUGAAAUCUCUGAAUUGCCAGAAAAAAAUUCAGAAGGUUGAUUAUUAAGCCAAUCAAGGAGGCACCAGAGAAAGGGGAAGUCCAACAUAAAGAGAAAAAAAAAUGAUACAGGAUAUGAAUGGCAAAAUGUCUAGGGAAAUAGAUAGCAUAAAUAAAAAACAGUCACAACUUCUGGAAACCAAGGACACACUUAGAGAAAUGCAAAAUGAACUGGAAAGUCUCAGCAAUAGAAUUGAACAAGUAGAAGAAAGAACUUCAGAGUUUGAAGACAAGGCUUUUGAAUUAACUCAAUCCAACAAAGACCCCCCAAAAAUGUUUUUAAAUGAACAAAGCCUCCAAGAAGUUUAGGAUUAUGUAAAAUGAUAAAACCUAAGAGUAAUUAAUGUUCCUGAGGAAGAAUAGAAAUGUAAAAGUUUGGAAAAUAUAUUUGAGGGAAUAAUUGAGGAAAACUUCCCUGGCCUUGCUAGAGAUCUAGACAUUCAAAUACAAGAAGUUCAAAGAACAACUAGGAAAUUCGUCACAAAAAGAUCAUCACUUAUGUACAUAGUCAUCAGGUUAUCUAAAAUCAAGAUGAAGGAAAGAAUCUUAAGAGCUAUGAGGCAAAAGCAUCAGGUAACCUAUAAAGGAAAACCUAUCAGAUUAACAGCAGAUUUCUCAGCAGAAACCCUACAAGAUAGAAGGGAUUGAGGUAUUAUAUUUAGCCUCCUUAAACAAAACAAUUAUCAGCUAAGAAUUUUGUAUCCAGCAAAACUAAGCUUCAGAAAUGAAGAACAUAUACAGUCUUUUUCAGACAAAAGCUGAGAAAAUCUGCCACUACCAAGCCAUCACUACAAGAACUGCUUAAAGGAGCUCUAAAUCCUAAAACAAAUCCUCAUAAUACACCAAGAUAGAAUCUCCUUAGAGCAUAAAUUUUGCAGGCCCUAUAAAACAAUAAUACAAUGAAAAAAAAGGUAUUCAGGCAACAGAUAGCACAAUGAAUAGAAUAGUACCUCACAUCUCAAUACUAAUGUUGAAUGUAAAUGGCCUAAAUGCUCCACUUAAAAGAUAUAGAAUGGAUAAGAACUCACCAACCAAGUGACUGCUGUCUUUAAGAGACUCACCUGACACAUAAGGACUCAUAUAAAUUUAAGGUAAAUGGGUGGAAAAAGAUGCUCCAUGCAAAUGGACACCCAAACUAAGCAGGAGUAGCUAUUCUUAUAUCAGACACAACAAACUUUAAAGCAACAGCAUUUUAAAAAGACAGAGGGACAUUGUAUAACGAUAAAAGGACUAGUCCAACAGGAAAAUAUCACCAUCCUAAGUAUAUAUGCACUUAACAGUGGAGCUCCCAAAUUUAUAAAACAAUUAUUAUUAGACCAAAUAAAUGAGGUAGACAGCAACAAAAUAAUAGUGGGGGACCCCAAUACUCCACUGACAGCACUAGACAGGUCAAGACAGAAAGUCAACAAGGAAACAAUGGACUAAAACUAUACCCUAGAACAAAUGGACUUAACAGAUAUUUACAGAACAUUCUACCCAACAAUUGGAGAAUGUACAUUCUAUUUAUCAGCACAUAAAAUAUUCUCCAAGAUAGACCAUAUGAUAGGCCACAAAACAAGUCCCAAAAAAUUUAAGAAAAUUGAAAUUAUAUCAACUACUCUCUUAGACCACAGUGGAAUAAAUUGGAAAUUAACUCCAAAAGGAACCCUCAAAACCAUGCAAAUACAUGGAAAUUAAAUAAUCUGCUCCUGAAUGAUCAUUGGUAAUCAAUAUGGAAAUUUAAAAAUUCUUUUAACUGAAUGAUAAUAGUGACAAAACCUAUCAAAACCUCUGGGAUACAGCAAAAGCAGUGCUAAGAGGAAAGUUCAUAGCAUUAGAUGCCUACAUCAAGAAGUCUGAAAGAGUACAAAUAGACAAUCUAAGGUCACACCUCAAGGAACUAGAGAAACAAGAACAAACCAAAUCCAAAUACAGCAGCAGAAAAAAAAAAAAAAAAAAAAACAAGAUCAGAGCGGAACUAAAUGAAAUUGAAACAAACAAACAAAAAAUACAAAAGAUAAAUGAAACAAAAA